CAGCAGCCACGGUAAUACGUAGGUGGCAAGCGUUGUCCGGAAUUAUUGGGCGUAAAGGGCUCGCAGGCGGUUUCUUAAGUCUGAUGUGAAAGCCCCCGGCUCAACCGGGGAGGGUCAUUGGAAACUGGGAAACUUGAGUGCAGAAGAGGAGAGUGGAAUUCCACGUGUGGCGGUGAAAUGCGUAGGGAUGUGGAGGAACACCAGUGGCGAAGGCGACUCUCUGGUCUGUAACUGACGCUGAGGAGCGAAAGCGUGGGGAGCGAACAGGAUUAGAUACCCCAGUAGUCCCUGUCUCUUAUAC
This 301-nucleotide ribosomal RNA is filed under the name uncultured bacterium. RNAcentral's name for it is "partial 16S ribosomal RNA". It matches the Rfam family "Bacterial small subunit ribosomal RNA", at positions 509 to 807 of the family's 1533-position model. The record is from RNAcentral.